AGAAGGUAAUAAUCCUGUAGUCGAAAAUGUUGUCUCUCUUGAGUGGAUCCUGAGUACGACGGAGCACGUGAAAUUCCGUCGGAAUCUGGGAGGACCAUCUCCUAAGGCUAAAUACUCUCUAGUGACCGAUAGUGAACCAGUACCGUGAGGGAAAGGUGAAAAGCACCCCGGAAGGGGAGUGAAAUAGAACCUGAAACCGUGUGCUUACAAGUAGUCAGAGCCCGUUAAUGGGUGAUGGCGUGCCUUUUGUAGAAUGAACCGGCGAGUUACGAUUUGAUGCAAGGUUAAGCAGUAAAUGUGGAGCCGUAGCGAAAGCGAGUCUGAAUAGGGCGUUUAGUAUUUGGUCGUAGACCCGAAACCAGGUGAUCUACCCUUGGUCAGGUUGAAGUUCAGGUAACACUGAAUGGAGGACCGAACCGACUUACGUUGAAAAGUGAGCGGAUGAACUGAGGGUAGCGGAGAAAUUCCAAUCGAACCUGGAGAUAGCUGGUUCUCUCCGAAAUAGCUUUAGGGCUAGCCUCAAGUGAUGAUUAUUGGAGGUAGAGCACUGUUUGGACGAGGGGCCCCUCUCGGGUUACCGAAUUCAGACAAACUCCGAAUGCCAAUUAAUUUAACUUGGGAGUCAGAACAUGGGUGAUAAGGUCCGUGUUCGAAAGGGAAACAGCCCAGACCACCAGCUAAGGUCCCAAAAUAUAUGUUAAGUGGAAAAGGAUGUGGCGUUGCCCAGACAACUAGGAUGUUGGCUUAGAAGCAGCCAUCAUUUAAAGAGUGCGUAAUAGCUCACUAGUCGAGUGACACUGCGCCGAAAAUGUACCGGGGCUAAACAUAUUACCGAAGCUGUGGAUUGUCCUUUGGACAAUGGUAGGAGAGCGUUCUAAGGGCGUUGAAGCAUGAUCGUAAGGACAUGUGGAGCGCUUAGAAGUGAGAAUGCCGGUGUGAGUAGCGAAAGACGGGUGAGAAUCCCGUCCACCGAUUGACUAAGGUUUCCAGAGGAAGGCUCGUCCGCUCUGGGUUAGUCGGGUCCUAAGCUGAGGCCGACAGGCGUAGGCGAUGGAUAACAGGUUGAUAUUCCUGUACCACCUAUAAUCGUUUUAAUCGAUGGGGGGACGCAGUAGGAUAGGCGAAGCGUGCGAUUGGAUUGCACGUCUAAGCAGUAAGGCUGAGUAUUAGGCAAAUCCGGUACUCGUUAAGGCUGAGCUGUGAUGGGGAGAAGACAUUGUGUCUUCGAGUCGUUGAUUUCACACUGCCGAGAAAAGCCUCUAGAUAGAAAAUAGGUGCCCGUACCGCAAACCGACACAGGUAGUCAAGAUGAGAAUUCUAAGGUGAGCGAGCGAACUCUCGUUAAGGAACUCGGCAAAAUGACCCCGUAACUUCGGGAGAAGGGGUGCUCUUUAGGGUUAACGCCCAGAAGAGCCGCAGUGAAUAGGCCCAAGCGACUGUUUAUCAAAAACACAGGUCUCUGCUAAACCGUAAGGUGAUGUAUAGGGGCUGACGCCUGCCCGGUGCUGGAAGGUUAAGAGGAGUGGUUAGCUUCUGCGAAGCUACGAAUCGAAGCCCCAGUAAACGGCGGCCGUAACUAUAACGGUCCUAAGGUAGCGAAAUUCCUUGUCGGGUAAGUUCCGACCCGCACGAAAGGCGUAACGAUUUGGGCACUGUCUCAACGAGAGACUCGGUGAAAUCAUAGUACCUGUGAAGAUGCAGGUUACCCGCGACAGGACGGAAAGACCCCGUGGAGCUUUACUGUAGCCUGAUAUUGAAAUUCGGCACAGCUUGUACAGGAUAGGUAGGAGCCUUUGAAACGUGAGCGCUAGCUUACGUGGAGGCGCUGGUGGGAUACUACCCUAGCUGUGUUGGCUUUCUAACCCGCACCACUUAUCGUGGUGGGAGACAGUGUCAGGCGGGCAGUUUGACUGGGGCGGUCGCCUCCUAAAAGGUAACGGAGGCGCUCAAAGGUUCCCUCAGAAUGGUUGGAAAUCAUUCAUAGAGUGUAAAGGCAUAAGGGAGCUUGACUGCGAGACCUACAAGUCGAGCAGGGUCGAAAGACGGACUUAGUGAUCCGGUGGUUCCGCAUGGAAGGGCCAUCGCUCAACGGAUAAAAGCUACCCCGGGGAUAACAGGCUUAUCUCCCCCAAGAGUUCACAUCGACGGGGAGGUUUGGCACCUCGAUGUCGGCUCAUCGCAUCCUGGGGCUGUAGUCGGUCCCAAGGGUUGGGCUGUUCGCCCAUUAAAGCGGUACGCGAGCUGGGUUCAGAACGUCGUGAGACAGUUCGGUCCCUAUCCGUCGUGGGCGUAGGAAAUUUGAGAGGAGCUGUCCUUAGUACGAGAGGACCGGGAUGGACAUACCUCUGGUGUACCAGUUGUCGU
Molecule: ribosomal RNA, 2364 nt
Filed under: Staphylococcus aureus
Lineage: Bacteria; Bacillati; Bacillota; Bacilli; Caryophanales; Staphylococcaceae
Description: partial 23S ribosomal RNA
Rfam family: Bacterial large subunit ribosomal RNA
Source: RNAcentral